Molecule: long non-coding RNA, 5064 nt
Filed under: Sus scrofa (pig)
Lineage: Eukaryota; Metazoa; Chordata; Mammalia; Artiodactyla; Suidae
Description: lncRNA (ENSSSCG00070025781.1)
Source: RNAcentral
AUGAAAACUGCUUGGCCAGAGGGAGGUUCCCCAAAGGUGAGAGACUUCUCCACACUGUUCAAGACCCUGCCCUGGGGAGCCCUCCCUGCUCUGUGGCCACUGCCCAGCCCAGGUCUCACCAUAGCAUCUGGUCCCCAGCAGGCUGAGCCCCCUGAGGCUCGGGGUCAGGUCUGUGCCGACUUUGCAGCCCUGCGACAGUGGAUUCUCAUUAAACGCUUCCUGAGAGCAAAGACAUGAGGGCUGGAACCUGGCUCCCCUGCAUGCAGACUACAUCUGCCAGGUGCGGUGCUAGGAGAGGCAGGUAAGAGAAGGUUCCGCCUCCCAGCACGUUUCCUUCUAAGGGGAGGCAGAGGCUAAACAAAUAUAUAUGACCACCCUGAACAGUUCCUGAAGGCAAAUAAGUGACAGUAUGUGGAGCGGGAUGUGACCUUGACCAGGGUCUGAGGUUUCCUGAAAGAAGCCGUGUUUGAGGCCUGAUCUAAAAGCUGAGCAGGAACAACUACCCAGGGAGCUCCCGUUGUGGCUCCUUGGGUUUUUUAGGGCCGUGGAUGUGGCCCUAAAAAAGACCCCCCCCCAAGAAAAAUCAUGAAGUUGAAUUUCAGAGAGGGAUAAAUGCUCCAAGGAGUGAUGCGAUGGAACCAAGGGGGAGGGUGGGCUGGGGGCUGCAGGGGGCGGGGGUCAGGGUCAUGCAACCUCUGAGGAUGCAAAGAGGUAGUGGAAAAGCAUUGCAGCUGGGGGGAACAGUCAAGGCAAAGUCUUGAGGUUGGACGAGAGACCAGGGGGCUGGAAGGGGAAGUCGUGGUGGGAGAGGGGCCCUGGGGGUGGAACAGGCCUGGACGGCCCUGGGGAGCUUAACCCUGGGGAGGCCUGGGGGGUUUCAGGCAGGAGUGAUGGGCUCCAUUCCCCCUGACCUGCCAGAAUCUCCCUUCUCGCUCAUUCUGGAAACCCCCUCAGCCCCAGUUCCCUAUUUCAGCCCUUUCCAGCCCAGCUGCCUCCCUUACCCCCGUUACAGGUACUCCCUGGGCUGGAAUUUCCCAAGAUCUGCCGUCUGGGAGGGGAACGAACACUGGUGACCAUCAUUGUCAAGGCCACGGUGCGUGGACCGCCGACCCUGUGCCCCGCCUCGUGCUGGACACUGUGACCUGGCCCCUCAGCCCCUCACUAGGACCCUUCAGGUUUUCCCGCCCCGCUGUGCAGUCCAGGAGACCUGGAUGCAGAGUGACUUGCUCACGGCCAUGUGCCCAAAGGCAGGAGCCAAGACUGGAACCCAGCUCAGGCGUAUCCUAAAGGCUUGUCAAAUCCUACUGGAGCCUGGGGAUAGUUUUGUGCAAGUGGGAGUUCCAGAUUCUUCUGCCUCUUUCCCACCUGCCUCCCUUCACUCCCCCCACCCCCACUUUGGUAAAGGUCGCCGCCAGCUCCCUGGUUGCUGAGCCUGAUGCUCCAGACCCAAGCUGCCCCCUCUCCUUGGCUGCCCCCUCUUUCAGGGGCCAGUCCUGAAGUGCCACUCUGAUAGGCCUUGUUGUAGCUUCGCUACCCAGUGUAUCUGGCUAGGGGUUCUCUCUCCCAUCUCCUCCCCCAGCCCCCCCCGCCACCUUUUUUUUGAAGAUAGGGCCUCUUGUGAGGGACCAGACAAAGUGCUUCUUCUUCCUCUUUUUUUUUAGGGCUGCACCUGCGGCAUAUGGAGGUUCCCAGGCUAAAGGUCAAAUCACAGUUGUCGCUGCCGGCCUAUACCACAGCCACAGCAAUGCUAGAUCCAAGCUGUGUCUGUAAUCUACACCACAGCUCACGGCAAUGCCAGAUUCUUAACCCACUGAGCGAGGCCAGGGAUCAAACCUGUGUCCUCAUGGAUGCUAGUCAGAUUCAUUUCCGUUGAGCCACGUUGGGAACUCCCUUUUUUUUUUUUUUUUUUUCUUUUCUUUUUAGGGCUGCACCUGCACCAUAUUGAAGUGAAAUUCCCAGGCUAGGGGUCACAUUGAAGCUGCAGCUGCCAGCCUACGCUGCAGCCACAGCAACACCGUGUUCUUAACCCACUGAUCGAGGCCAGGGAUGGAACCCGCAUUCUCAUGGAUACUAGUCGGGUUCGUAGCCUGCUGAACCACGGCAGGCACUCCCUCUCCCUCUCCCUCCCUCUUGAGAAAAAAAGGACAAAAUUAAAUUGUGGCGAGUUAUCAUCGAUCUCGAGAAAGCCGCACUGAGGUCUGUGGGCACCUUUCUUUGAAGAUGCACCUCACGUGGUUGCAGUGGAUAAGGGGGCGCUGGAGGCCAGGCCAGCUGGCCGGUCCCUGGUGUCCUCAUAGAAUAUCGCAGGGCGGGCAAGCUACUCCCACCCUAGAGCCGCAUAGGGAGGUGGCGGCCCCCACAGCCCACCCCUUCGGCCAUAAGAGACUCCAUGAGGGGCUCACUGCCACUACCCUGCCUUCCUUGAAGCAGUGUCCUCCUGGGGAGGCCAUGUUCUAAAACUGCCUGUGGUGAUGGGUGCGUAACCCCAUGAAGGCACCAAAAACCACUGACUUACACUCUUUAAAUGGGGGAAUUGCAGAGUGGGUGAAUUAUAGCUCCAUGUAUCUAUUUGAAAACACACACAACGCAGUUCCCCGGUGGCCUAAUGGUUAAGGACCCGGUGUUCUCACUGCUAAGGCAUGGGUUGCUGCCGUGGUGCGGGUUUGAUCUCUGGUCCUGGACUUUUGCAUGCUAUGGGUGUACCCCCCAGGAGAAAAAAAAACCACACACACCCUUAACCUAAGUGUCCUGUGUCUUCCCCAGGGAGGCCAGACAAAUGAAAUGUGGGGAAAAAAAUCAUGACAACACUCAAAUAUUACCUGAUAGGGACAAUCAAAGCUAACAAUUUCUUUUUCUUUUUUGGCUGUGCCAGCAGCAUGCAGAAAUUCCCAGGCCAGGGAUAGAACCUGUGCUACAGCAAUAACCAGAGCCACAGUGGUGACAACGCUGGAUCCUUAACCCACGGUGCCACCAGGGAACUCUCUGGGCUAACACAUCUUUAGUGCUGGUGACAUGCUGUUAACUGCUAUGACUCUCACCCCAGCUCUGUCAGGCAGACCUUAUUAUGUUCCCCCUUGACAGAUGGGGAAACUGAGGCACACGGUGGGGAAUGCGACUUGCCAAGUUCACAUGAAAAGACAUGUCAGGGCAAGAUUUAAGCCCCAGGAGUUCCUGUUGUGGCUCAGCGGGUUAAGAACCCAACAUAGUAUCUGUGAGGAUGCAGGUUCCAUCCCUGGCCUCGCUCAGUGGGUUACGGAUCUGGCGUUGCCCUGAGCUGUGGUGGUGGUUGCAGACGCAGCUCAGAUCCCGUGUUGCUGUGGCUGUGGUGUAGACUGGCAGCUGUGGCUCCAAUUAGAUCCCUAGGCUGGGAACCUCCAUGUGCUGUGGGUGUGGCCCUAAAAAGAAGAAAAAAAAAGAUUUCAGCCCCACCGUCUAGCUCCAGUACCCUCUCAUCAACCCCAGACAGAGACAGCGGUAAGGAAGAUACCCGUGUAAUAUCAACAAGUGUCCCCACUAGUGGUUCCUCCAUGUUCCUAUCAGCAUCAGUGACCCACAGGCUGGUCUAGUUUCAGACAACACCCCCCCUCCUUUUUUUUUUUUACUGGAAUCAUGUGAAGCAUAUCUUUUGAGAAAGAUGCAACUUCCUCUAAAUCAUCUUAUUUCAGCUCUACCCCCUCCUCUGCCCCCCCUGCCCCCCUCCACUUCCCCACAUACCCCUGCUGGAUUCUUCUAUUGCACGUCUUAUUGUCCUAUCAUUUCAUUCAUAAAUUCUGCAGAAUGCAUCUCUGUGAUAAGACCUCUUCUCCAACAAUCACAUUUUCGUUUAAUUACCACUUUCAUACCCACGAGAGGUUAAUGAUUCAGUAACAUCCUCCCAAGUCGACCCCCACCCCUGUUGUUUCCGAAAUGUAUUAAUGUGAACUUGGGCCAAAUCAAGAGACGAUGUUCAUACAUUGCAUUUGGCUGGGGUAGCUCUUAAAUCCCUUGUACGCUAGAAGGAUUCUUUUUAUUUCCUUGACGUUUAGUCGUGCAGAAAGUGUGAGAUCGUGGCUCUUUGGCAUUGAUUUGCUGCCUCUUAAACGCCCUCCAGCAAAAACGGAAAGGGUGGUGGGUGGAGGGGGUAACGGGUGAUGGGAGCCUGGCCCAGCCUCCGGGCCUGGUGGAGAGUCUGGUAUUUCCACCUCGCUGGUCAUCUGGAAAGAGAAAAUACUGGGCCUUGGCGGAAAGGAGCCGCACAUUGAUGUUGGCAGCAGCUAAAUACAUGCAUUUGUCCGUUUUGUCACAAAUGCUGUCAAUACUACCUUUCAAAGCAUAUCUGGGAGUUCCCGUCAUGGCGCAGCAGAAACAAAUCCGACUGGCAAUCCAUGAGGUUGCAGGUUUGAUUCCUGGCCUCACUCAGCGGGUUGAGGAUCUGGCAACGCUGUGAGCUGUGGUGUAAGUGGCGGACAUGGCUCAGAUUGGGCAUUGCUGUGGCUGUGGCUAUGGCCAGCAGCUGUAGCUCUGAUUCGACCCCUAGCCUGGGAACCUCCACAUGUUGCAGGUGUGGUCCUAAAAAGACAAAAAAGAUGAAAAGAAAAAAAAACCAUCUCUGAAACCUUCCCUUUUUUUUUUUUUAUUACUCAAAUGAAUUUAUCACAUCUGUAGUUGUAUAAUGAUCAUAACAAUCUGAUUUCACAGGAUUUCUAUCCCACAGCCCAAGCACAUCCCCCCACCCCCUAAACUGUCUCCUCCGGAGACCAUAAGUUUUUCAAAGCCUGUGAGUCAGCAUCUGUUCUGCAAAAAAUUUCAGUCUAUCCUUUUUUCAGAUUCCGCAUGUCAAUGAAAGCAUUUGAUGUUGGUGUCUCACUGUAUGGCUGACUUCACUUAGCAAGAUAGUUUCUAGGUCCGUCCAUGUUGCUAAAAAUGCCAGUAUUUCGUUCCUUUUAAUGGCUGAGUCAUAUUCCAUUGUGUAUAUGUACAUCUUCUUGAUCCACUCCUCUGUUGAUGGAUAUUUAGGUUGUUUCCAUGUCUUGGCUAUUGUAAAUAGUGCUGCAAUAAACAUUGGAGUACGUGUGUCUUUGCGAG